AUACGGAGGGGGCUAGCGUUGUUCGGAAUUACUGGGCGUAAAGCGUACGUAGGCGGACUGAUCAGUUGGGGGUGAAAUCCCAGGGCUUAACCCUGGAACUGCCUUCAAUACUGUCAGUCUUGAGAUUGGAAGAGGUGAGUGGAAUUCCUAGUGUAGAGGUGAAAUUCAUAGAUAUUAGGAGGAACACCAGUGGCGAAGGCGGCUCACUGGUCCAAUACUGACGCUGAGGUACGAAAGCGUGGGGAGCGAACAGGAUUAGAUACCCUAGUAGUCC
Molecule: ribosomal RNA, 274 nt
Filed under: uncultured bacterium
Lineage: Bacteria
Description: partial 16S ribosomal RNA
Rfam family: Bacterial small subunit ribosomal RNA
Source: RNAcentral